This 282-nucleotide unclassified non-coding RNA is filed under the name uncultured fungus. RNAcentral's name for it is "sequence contains ITS1, 5.8S rRNA gene". The stretch from base 234 to 282 matches the Rfam family "5.8S ribosomal RNA", at positions 1 to 49 of the family's 154-position model. The record is from RNAcentral. Lineage: Eukaryota; Fungi.
UCUCCGUAGGUGAACCUGCGGAGGGAUCAUUAAGAAUUGAACAGCAGUGUCUGGCACUGUUGCCCAUUCUAACCCUUUGUGAACUACAACUCUGUUGCCUCGGCGCAGGCUGGGAGCUUCUGUAAACUCCCCCACGCGGACUCGCCUCCGCGCGGAGCAGGCCCGCCGGCGGCCCCUACCAAACCUCUUGUUUUUACAGUGUCUCCUCUGAGUUACAAACACAAAUGAAUCAAAACUUUCAACAACGGAUCUCUUGGUUCUGGCAUCGAUGAAGAACGCAGC